Molecule: small nucleolar RNA, 118 nt
Organism: Elaeis guineensis (African oil palm)
Lineage: Eukaryota; Viridiplantae; Streptophyta; Magnoliopsida; Arecales; Arecaceae
Product: small nucleolar RNA snoR104
Source: RefSeq, a predicted model, not a curated record
GGGUGGCAUACAAAAGCCGAGUUGUUAACCCGAUACAGUCUUCCUACAUUAAAUUUGUAGUUUCCUGCUUGUGGUACUUUGAGAAAGUUCUGCAAGUCUCAAAAUACAAGACAUUAAG